CUUUUCCUCAACAGCAAGUGCAAGAGGUACUUCCACAAUAGGCUGAAGCCCGCGAAGCUGUCUUGGACGGCGUUGUUCCGGAAACAGCACAAGAAGGACCUUCACGACACCGCAGUGAAGAAGAAGAGGAGGACCACGAACAAGCCAUACUCUAGGUCCAUCGUGGGAGCAUCGCUAGAGGUGAUUCAGAAGAAGAGGACGGAGAAGACGGAGGUGCGCGCCGCAGCUCGCGAG
RNAcentral lists this long non-coding RNA (234 nucleotides) under Physcomitrium patens. RNAcentral's name for it is "long non-coding RNA (PPAT_LNC001939)". Lineage: Eukaryota; Viridiplantae; Streptophyta; Bryopsida; Funariales; Funariaceae. The record is from RNAcentral.